CUUCCAGGGAAGAUGGUGGAGUAGGAGGAUCCUAAGCUCACCCCAUCUCACAUAUACAACUAGAUAACAUUCACAUUGGUGUAAAUAACCCAGAAGACAACCCAAAGACUGGAAGAACAAACUCUACAACUAAAUGUAGAGAAGAGGCCACAUCAAAAAGGGAGUUCUCAGAAGGUUAAAGCUCAGAUGGAACCUAUUUGCAAAAUACCCACAGUCCCUGCCAAGGUGCUCAAGAAUGUCUCUGCAGCCCUUGCCUAAGCAGGUUUUUCAACCAAGCAAAAGCAUCUGCAUGUUGACUUCAGAGUGUUAACUAAGGUCACAUGUAGGUCGCCUCAGGCCAGCCCCGCUCUGCUGUUCCCGCCGGACUUGAGGAGACUUGGCAGGUGAGGACCUGGUCCUGACGUCAGAUUCUGG
Zalophus californianus (California sea lion) is the source of this 414-nucleotide long non-coding RNA. RefSeq lists it as uncharacterized. Lineage: Eukaryota; Metazoa; Chordata; Mammalia; Carnivora; Otariidae. The record is from RefSeq and is a predicted model, not a curated record. The transcript is spliced from 4 exons.